AUUGAACGCUGGCGGCAUGCCUUACACAUGCAAGUCGAACGGCAGCAUGGAGAGCUUGCUCUCUGGUGGCGAGUGGCGAACGGGUGAGUAAUACAUCGAAACGUACCUUAUCGUGGGGGAUAAUGCAGCGAAAGCAGUGCUAAUACCGCAUACGCCCUGCGGGGGAAAGCGGGGGAUCGCAAGACCUCGCGUGAUUAGAGCGGCCGAUGCCUGAUUAGCUUGUUGGUGGGGUAAAAGCCCACCAAGGAGACGAUCAGUAGCUGGUCUGAGAGGACGAUCAGCCACACUGGGACUGAGACACGGCCCAGACUCCUACGGGAGGCAGCAGUGGGGAAUUUUGGACAAUGGGGGCAACCCUGAUCCAGCAAUGCCGCGUGAGUGAAGAAGGCCUUCGGGUUGUAAAGCUCUUUUGUCAGGGAAGAAACACCGGCUCUAACACAGUCCGGGAAUGACGGUACCUGAAGAAUAAGCACCGGCUAACUACGUGCCAGCCGCCGCCGUAA
This 503-nucleotide ribosomal RNA is filed under the name uncultured bacterium. RNAcentral's name for it is "partial 16S ribosomal RNA". It matches the Rfam family "Bacterial small subunit ribosomal RNA", at positions 30 to 523 of the family's 1533-position model. The record is from RNAcentral.